Non-coding RNA from Clostridium sp. CAG:299, 262 nucleotides. It matches the Rfam family "Bacterial large signal recognition particle RNA". Rfam says of the family: The signal recognition particle (SRP) is a universally conserved ribonucleoprotein involved in the co-translational targeting of proteins to membranes. Archaeal SRP consists of a 7S RNA and homologues of the eukaryotic SRP19 and SRP54 proteins. The record is from Rfam. Lineage: Bacteria; Bacillati; Bacillota; Clostridia; Eubacteriales; Clostridiaceae.
CCGCACAGCCGGGGAGUUAGCGGUGCCCUGUACCUGCAAUCCGCUAUAGCAGGGGUGAUAUUCUGCCCAGGGUGCUUGUUUGCAGAGCUGCCCCUUGUAAGUGGCGUUGAAGUUUGGGUCUUGCGCAAUGGGAAUCCAUGAACCGUGUCAGGGCAGGAAUGCAGCAGCACUAAGUGGAAGCUCUCGUGUGCCGCGAGGGAGCCUGGGCCGAGUUAACUGCAAGGGUAACGUCUGUGAAGAGCAUUCAAAGCAGAAUGUGCGG